RNAcentral lists this long non-coding RNA (210 nucleotides) under Setaria viridis. Its description in RNAcentral is "long non-coding RNA (SVIR_LNC000216)". Lineage: Eukaryota; Viridiplantae; Streptophyta; Magnoliopsida; Poales; Poaceae. The record is from RNAcentral.
GAUGAUCAACAUCGCUAUUGAUAAGCGGCUUCUUUCUCACCAUCCAUCUCUGCAAACCCAUCUUCGUCAUAUGCCAAUCGUUUUCGAGCCACCAUGAACAGCGUGUAUCUAAUUAUUUUUUCUAGCUAUCCUUUCCAACCUUUGUAGUUCUUCACCUACUCUAUUGUAAUCCGAAUUUUUAUGCAAUCAUAUGUUGACCUUGACCCUCCC